Molecule: long non-coding RNA, 888 nt
Organism: Hyposmocoma kahamanoa
Lineage: Eukaryota; Metazoa; Arthropoda; Insecta; Lepidoptera; Cosmopterigidae
Exons: 3
Source: RefSeq, a predicted model, not a curated record
ACCCCGUGUACGUCAUAAAAAAUAGAUACCAUGUGACGGGACGAACAAGUCGUUCGCCUGGUGGUAAGCGACACGCCUGUACAUAGCAGUUACACUGCCACUAAGGGCCUUAAAUUCCAAAGAUCUGCCACUACGCCCGUCACACUGUAACAAACUGUACCAAGCACAAGUCCGGUCAUGUAUGUUCUGCUAAAUACCAACUGGCUACGCUGGAUUCCGAUUUACUAGAGGCGAAGCUGCAAAGUCUUGAACAUCGCUGUAAAAUUGCCUGCUUAUCGGUAUUCUACAGUAUAUGUAUAUCACUGAGGGUGACGCAAAAUAGGCGCCUUGUCGUCUAGUUGCGGACACCAGCCCGUUACACCAAGUACCAAGUAGAUCACUGAGGGUGUGCUAUGGAAUUGCAUGAUAUAAUUCCACCUUCCCCAUUCCGUCAUAGAGGGACUAGACGUAGGCUGAGGUUCGACACCUAUGUUAUGGAUAUUCCAAAGAUUUGCACUAAGCGUUUCGCUUGCAUAUUUAUAUGAUGAACAGCAAAGGAGUGGAAUUCCCUGCCUGCAGACUUGUUCCCCAAACGCUUUCAAGACUGAAUAGGCACUAUUUAAGUGUGCAUGCUACAUCGUCGACGUCAUAGUCACUGGUGAGAUAGUUAUACUUAAAAUUAAAACAGAAGUUGACAAUUUCCUUGUGACUGUAUUUCACCAAAGUCAUUUUAAAGUAAUAUAGUGCGUAAUAGGUAAUGUUUUGUUUAGGUUGACUGUCCUUUAUCGUUGGCAGUAACUAUAACUCAAUGGGCUUAGUCGAUUGGCAACCAGUGACCAAUUAAAGUGUAGCGAAGCAAUUACAAUUAGAGACCAGAAAAAAGCGUGCGUAAUAUUAUCCUUUAUUUUU